Molecule: ribosomal RNA, 301 nt
Filed under: uncultured bacterium
Lineage: Bacteria
Description: partial 16S ribosomal RNA
Rfam family: Bacterial small subunit ribosomal RNA
Source: RNAcentral
CAGUAGCCACGGUAAUGCGUAGGGUGCAAGCGUUAAUCGGAAUUACUGGGCGUAAAGCGUGCGCAGGCGGUUAUAUAAGUCAGAUGUGAAAUCCCCGGGCUCAACCUGGGAACUGCAUUUGAGACUGUAUGGCUAGAGUGUGUCAGAGGGGGGUAGAAUUCCACGUGUAGCAGUGAAAUGCGUAGAUAUGUGGAGGAAUACCGAUGGCGAAGGCAGCCCCCUGGGAUAACACUGACGCUCCUGCGCGAAAGCCAGGGGAGCGAACGGGAUUAGAUACCCGUGUAGUCCCUGUCUCUUAUAC